GACGAACGCUGGGGCCGUGCCUAACACAUGCAAGUCGAACGGAGAUAUGAUUUCGGUUGUAUCUUAGUGGCGAACGGGUGAGUAACGCGUGAGCAACCUGACUCUUAGAGGGGGAUAACACCCGGAAACGAGUGCUAAUACCGCAUAAGACCACGACAUGGCAUCAUGACGAGGUCAAAGGAGCAAUCCGCUGAGAGAGGGGCUCGCGUCCCAUUAGAUAGAUGGCGGGGUAAUGGCCCACCAUGUCAGCGAUGGGUAGCCGAGCUGAGAGGCUGAUCGGCCACACUGGAACUGAGACACGGUCCAGACUCCUACGGGAGGCAGCAGUGGGGAAUAUUGGGCAAUGGGCGCAAGCCUGACCCAGCAACGCCGCGUGAGGGAAGAAGGCUUUCGGGUUGUAAACCUCUGUCCUUGGUGACGAAAAAAAUGACGGUAGCCAAGGAGGAAGCCCCGGCUAACUACGUG
Molecule: ribosomal RNA, 465 nt
Filed under: uncultured bacterium
Lineage: Bacteria
Description: bacterial SSU rRNA
Rfam family: Bacterial small subunit ribosomal RNA
Source: RNAcentral